RNAcentral lists this ribosomal RNA (774 nucleotides) under Aphelenchoides sp. 1 RH-2017. Its description in RNAcentral is "bacterial SSU rRNA". It matches the Rfam family "Eukaryotic small subunit ribosomal RNA", at positions 216 to 1016 of the family's 1831-position model. The record is from RNAcentral. Lineage: Eukaryota; Metazoa; Nematoda; Chromadorea; Rhabditida; Aphelenchoididae.
AUCGGAGCAAAACCCUUCCUGGUUUUAUGCUAACUCUGGAUAACACUUGAUCUCGCAUGACCUUGUGUCGGCGAAGUUACAUUCAAGUAUCUGCCUUAUCAACUUUCGAUGGUAGUGUAUUGGACUGCCAUGGUGUUGACGGGUAACGGAGAAUCAGGGUUCGACUCCGGAGAGGGAGCCUUAGAAACGGCUACCAUUUCUAAGGAAAGCAGCAGGCGCGGAACUUAUCCACUGUUCAUUGAACGAGAUAGUGACGAGAAAUAACAAGUCCGUUCUCUAUGAGGUCGGACAUUGGAAUGGAUGGAAUCUAAAAAGUUCCAUGAGUACCCACGAGAGGGCAAGUCUGGUGCCAGCAGCCGCGGUAAUUCCAGCUCUCGUAAUGUAUAGAAUUAUUGUUGCGGUUAAAAAGUUCGUAGUUGGAUUUUCGACUGUUCGAGGGUCGUGCCUAACGGCGCGUACUCUUGGCAGUGUUUGCAUGCGGGCUUGUGGGCAACUGCAAGUCCGAAUGCGGAUUACUUUGAACGGCUUAAGUGCUCAAGGCGAGUCUUCGGACUGAAUACCGGUGCAUGGAAUAAUGGAACAAGGUUUCGGCUGAGUUUUAUUGGUUUUGUCGGCUAAAACAAUGGUUAACAGGAACAGCAGGGGGCACUCGUAUCGCUGCGCGAGAGGUGAAAUUCGUGGACCGCAGCGAGACGCCCGAAAGCGAAGGCAUUUGUCAUUAGUGUUUUCAUUAAUCAAGAACGAAAGUCAGAGGUUCGAAGGCGAUUAGAUACC